GGGUGGAUGGCCGAGCGGUCUAAGGCGCUAGACUCAAGUGGUAAAAACACUUCCGUUUCCAAAGACAUGGAUAAUUCUAGUAUCGCAAGAUGCGUGGGUUCGAAUCCCACUCCACUCA
Coniochaeta ligniaria NRRL 30616 is the source of this 118-nucleotide transfer RNA. It matches the Rfam family "tRNA". Rfam says of the family: Transfer RNA (tRNA) molecules are approximately 80 nucleotides in length. Their secondary structure includes four short double-helical elements and three loops (D, anti-codon, and T loops). The record is from Rfam. NCBI's taxonomy places the organism in Eukaryota, Fungi, Ascomycota, Sordariomycetes, Coniochaetales, Coniochaetaceae.